UGCAGAGAUGCGGGGGUGCCUUCGGGAGCGCGGAGACAGGUGCUGCAUGGCUGUCGUCAGCUCGUGUUGUGAGAUGUUGGGUUAAGUCCCGUAACGAGCGCAACCCUUGUUCUUAGUUGCCAGCGAUUUGGUCGGGGACUCUAAGAAGACUGCCGGUGAUAAGCCGGAGGAAGGUGGGGACGACGUCAAGUCAUCAUGGCCCUUACGAGUAGGGCUACACACGUGCUACAAUGGUCAGUACAGAGGGUAGCGAAAGGGUGACCUGGAGCCAAUCUCAGAAAGCUGAUCGUAGUCCGGAUUGCAGUCUGCAACUCGACUGCAUGAAGUCGGAAUCGCUAGUAAUCGCGGAUCAGAAUGCCGCGGUGAAUACGUUCCCGGGCCUUGUACACACCGCCCGUCACACCAUGGAAGUGGAUUGCACCAGAAGUAGCUAGAUUAACCGUAAGGGGGUCGGUUACCACGGUGUGGUUCAUGAUCUGGGGUGAAGUCGUAACAAGGUAACCGUA
Molecule: ribosomal RNA, 506 nt
Filed under: uncultured bacterium
Lineage: Bacteria
Description: bacterial SSU rRNA
Rfam family: Bacterial small subunit ribosomal RNA
Source: RNAcentral